RNAcentral lists this long non-coding RNA (200 nucleotides) under Jaculus jaculus (lesser Egyptian jerboa). Its description in RNAcentral is "Rhabdomyosarcoma 2 associated transcript conserved region 6 (ENSJJAG00000002984.1)". It matches the Rfam family "Rhabdomyosarcoma 2 associated transcript conserved region 6". Lineage: Eukaryota; Metazoa; Chordata; Mammalia; Rodentia; Dipodidae. The record is from RNAcentral.
GGAUGACUGAUUGUACCGGCCAGCUGGCUAAUAUCAUAAUUAACAAAGUUGCUACUACGUCUGUGAAGUUUAAUCAAAACAUUUACUGGUGAUAGGAUGGCAUUGUCACAACCAUCACAAGGGACUCAGAGUCGACUUCUGCUUGAGGUGGAGCUGGAGCGGCAGAGCAAGAUGAGAAACUGUGAACUUGUUCAGCUAAA